CACGGGGGGAGCAAGCGUUGUUCGGAAUUACUGGGCGUAAAGGGCGUGUAGGCGGUCAAGUAAGUGGGGUGGGAAACCCCUCGGCUCACCCGAGGAUCUGCAUCCCAAACUGCUUGGCUUGAGUAUGGGAGAGGAUGAGGGAAUUCCUGGUGUAGCGGUGAAAUGCGUAGAUAUCAGGAGGAACACCGGUGGCGAAGGCGCUCAUCUGGCCCAAUACUGACGCUGAGGCGCGAAAGCUAGGGGAGCGAACGGG
RNAcentral lists this ribosomal RNA (253 nucleotides) under uncultured bacterium. RNAcentral's name for it is "partial 16S ribosomal RNA". It matches the Rfam family "Bacterial small subunit ribosomal RNA", at positions 524 to 776 of the family's 1533-position model. The record is from RNAcentral.